AGCCCCUCCUCCACAGCCAGGUGCUCUGGACAUGCGCAGUCCGGGAUUCUCGGCGGGCCUGGCGCCUUCCCGGGCCGCGCGCGCGCCGCCUCUCGUGGAGCGCGGACAAGGUGACCAGCGCAUGCGCUAGAGGCCGCCAUGAGGAAGUCGCAUGGAUCCCAGAGUUAGAGGCGGACCUGGAAUUCCAGGACAGCCAGAAACCCUGUCUCCAAAACCAAACCAACCAAACAACCAGCCGACAACAAAGAAGCAUCCUGGUGUGAAGGAAACUGCUUAGGCAGUGACAGGCAGCAUGAAACUGCUUCUGGCUCAAGUCCUGGUGUGGCUGACAAUUAUUGGGACAUACAUGGCUGGUGCAGGCACGACGACAGUUCAAUGGAACUGAAGACCUGGAAAAGAAGGGCGCCGUGGUUUUCUUCAAACCUGCUGAGUCAUCUGACCCCAUGUCUUCCGUCUCCACCAUCUGAGCGCUGCCAAGCCUGCCUGGCUGAUUUCCUUUCAACUGAUCUUUCUCCGGUGCUCAGGAACUACUCCGAUAGAAUUCAAGCUUUCAGGCGGCCAGGCCAGGCCCUUUGCCGCUGGCCUUUGCUGGACUGAUCGGUGCCUUUCUUAGCCGCCAUUUUCCCCGAGCAGGAAACCCUCAGGGCAUCAUGCUGUCACUAUCUAGGCCAGGCUAGCCAGCUGCUCUCUCACAGUCACCGGCUGGGGAGACCCCUGCAGUGUCCAUCCCCACGGCUGACUGUUAUCAGCAGGCCUGUCACCAGGCCAGGCCGUGACAGCGCCGUCCACAGAUGAGUGCCCAGCCCGGGACAGCUGUGGCAGCUUUCUCAGUCAUAGAUCAUCUGCCAGGCCACCUUCCAAGGAAUAGAAAGGCCUGACUGGCUCAGCAGUAAGGUAAAGGACACUUUACUGUGUGUGAGGCACUAGGCUCCAGCCUCAGCACACACAGACAGACAAAUGCACGGAGAACAAAGAAACAGAUUCAGGGAGGGGAAGGAUAGUCUACAGGCAUGACUUUCUGGUUUGUUCCAGCCUCGUUCUUCCUCCAGAGAGUUCCAGAGAGGCCGGCCUCUACCUCUAUGGGAGGAGGGACCUUGCAAUGUUUACUGUUCUCGAGGAGGUGGAACCUGGAAGAAUGGAUCCUAAAAAUGAGGAGGUCUGGGGCUGGAGAGAUGGCUCAGUGGUUAAGAGCACUGAUUGUUCUUCCAGAGGUCCUGAGUUCAAUUCCCAGCAACCACAUGGUGGCUCACAACCAUCUGCAGUGGGAUCUGAUGCCCUCUUCUGGUGUGUCUGAAGAUAGCUACAGUGUACUUACAAUAAAUAAAUCUUUAAAAAAAAAAUGAGGUCUAAAGUUUCACACAAUAACCAGCUUUAUUCAGAACUUCAGGCAAUUUAUUGUUAAGAAUUAUGGGUUUGGGGAUUUGGCUCAGUGGUAGAGCGCUUGCCUAGCACGCGCAAGGCCCUGGGUUCGAUCCCCAGCUCCGAAAAAAAAAAUAGAGAGAAAAAAAAAGAAUUAUCUGGGGGUGGUAGAGCGCCUGCCUAGGAAGCGCAAGGCCCUGGGUUCGGUCCCCAGCUCUGAAAAAAAAAAAAAAAGAACCAAAAAAAAAAAAAACAAAAAACAAAAAAAUACAAUAGUCAGUUGUGGUAAAUAAUUGGAGGUAAACUCAUUCCUGUCCACCACUACACACUGGAGGGGCACAAAACACACUCCAAGAUCAAUUUCAAGUUAUUGAAGAAAGGAGGUCACAAGACUUGUUUUCUGGGAAUUUUCUGCCCCAGCCCUCAGGAUUCCCGGUUCUUGGACCUUGUUCUGACCUUGUAAAACGCAUAAGGUUGCACCAGGGCUAUUCAACAUCUUUAUCAUCCUUUCCUUUAUGCAAAUCACAAUGCCUCUCAAAGGGUCUGACCUCUCUCCACCCUGAAAGGUUCCCGGUGAGCCUGGAGCACUUCAUUGAGCUCAGCUCACUCAGUGUGUCUCCUCCACUGAACUCACUCAGCUAAACUGAACUUACAGUUGUUAUCUCUUUAUCCUAGGGGCCGUCUCCAUACCCAGCACGGGAUGGGGGGAGUGCUGGGGGCUGGGUAAUAACACAGAAAAAACGUCUGUGAGUAGUCGGCACCCUUCAUUCCUAAGGGGAAGCUUGGGUAUUUAGCGCCACCUGCUGGUCAGUUUGAGGCCUUCCAGUGGGAACUCCGAGGCGUUACCUGAGCUCCGAUGGAGAUGAACCACCACUGUAGUCUUCACUCAGGAUUCAAGAAAAAGCUUUUGGUAAUUCACAGAGCAAGGAUAAGAUGAUGUGCCUGUGUGUAAGACAGCCUGGAAUUGUAGAACUAGAGUUUUAAAAAGGUUACUCAUUGUCAGAGUCCGGAUGUGCCUGAGGGAGAGCCAGAGAUAGGACUUGCCAAACCAGCUAUCAGCCCCAAGGACAUUGACCAUCUGUAGCCACCCCCUCCCCUUCCUUCACCCCCCUGAGUGAGAUGAGCCAUCCUACCUGCCUGCCGAGCUGCUAGAGAGCACGUACUCCUUGCUGAUGUAAUUUCGCGCCGAAAGUAACUGUGCACCAUUUGAAAUGACCAAUCAUGUGUAACCGCGCGAAUGCCCCUAACCUCCCCUAUAUAAACCCCCGAGUUUGGAAGCUCGGGGUCGAUUCCUCUGUCUCCUGUGUGAGAUACGUGUCGACCCGGGAUCCCGCUAAGACCCGGGAUCUCGUUAAUAAAGCUACCUCCUGCUGUUACAUCAA
Long non-coding RNA from Rattus norvegicus (Norway rat), 2741 nucleotides. RefSeq lists it as uncharacterized. Lineage: Eukaryota; Metazoa; Chordata; Mammalia; Rodentia; Muridae. The record is from RefSeq and is a predicted model, not a curated record.